CAGAGAUAAAAACACGUCCCGGUAGGUAGUCCGGGAGCGGCGGCAGACCCGCCGUCAGUAACCUGCCUCCUUUGGUUGUCCGUUCUCUG
RNAcentral lists this non-coding RNA (89 nucleotides) under Butyricicoccus porcorum. RNAcentral describes it as "yjdF RNA". It matches the Rfam family "azaaromatic riboswitch aptamer (yjdF RNA)", at positions 6 to 91 of the family's 101-position model. The record is from RNAcentral. Lineage: Bacteria; Bacillati; Bacillota; Clostridia; Eubacteriales; Butyricicoccaceae.